This 1210-nucleotide ribosomal RNA is filed under the name Salmonella enterica. RNAcentral's name for it is "partial 23S ribosomal RNA". It matches the Rfam family "Bacterial large subunit ribosomal RNA", at positions 1159 to 2352 of the family's 2925-position model. RNAcentral also lists the same sequence under 1 other name. The record is from RNAcentral. Lineage: Bacteria; Pseudomonadati; Pseudomonadota; Gammaproteobacteria; Enterobacterales; Enterobacteriaceae.
CUGCGCGGAAGAUGUAACGGGGCUAAACCAUGCACCGAAGCUGCGGCAGCGACACUGUGUGUUGUUGGGUAGGGGAGCGUUCUGUAAGCCUGUGAAGGUGUGUCGUGAGGCAUGCUGGAGGUAUCAGAAGUGCGAAUGCUGACAUAAGUAACGAUAAAGCGGGUGAAAAGCCCGCUCGCCGGAAGACCAAGGGUUCCUGUCCAACGUUAAUCGGGGCAGGGUGAGUCGACCCCUAAGGCGAGGCCGAAAGGCGUAGUCGAUGGGAAACGGGUUAAUAUUCCCGUACUUGGUGUUACUGCGAAGGGGGGACGGAGAAGGCUAUGUUGGCCGGGCGACGGUUGUCCCGGUUUAAGCGUGUAGGUGUGUGUUCCAGGUAAAUCCGGUUCACUUUAACACUGAGGCGUGACGACGAGGCACUACGGUGCUGAAGCAACAAAUGCCCUGCUUCCAGGAAAAGCCUCUAAGCAUCAGGUAACAUCAAAUCGUACCCCAAACCGACACAGGUGGUCAGGUAGAGAAUACCAAGGCGCUUGAGAGAACUCGGGUGAAGGAACUAGGCAAAAUGGUGCCGUAACUUCGGGAGAAGGCACGCUGACACGUAGGUGAAGUGAUUUACUCAUGGAGCUGAAGUCAGUCGAAGAUACCAGCUGGCUGCAACUGUUUAUUAAAAACACAGCACUGUGCAAACACGAAAGUGGACGUAUACGGUGUGACGCCUGCCCGGUGCCGGAAGGUUAAUUGAUGGGGUCAGCGCAAGCGAAGCUCCUGAUCGAAGCCCCGGUAAACGGCGGCCGUAACUAUAACGGUCCUAAGGUAGCGAAAUUCCUUGUCGGGUAAGUUCCGACCUGCACGAAUGGCGUAAUGAUGGCCAGGCUGUCUCCACCCGAGACUCAGUGAAAUUGAACUCGCUGUGAAGAUGCAGUGUACCCGCGGCAAGACGGAAAGACCCCGUGAACCUUUACUAUAGCUUGACACUGAACAUUGAGCCUUGAUGUGUAGGAUAGGUGGGAGGCUUUGAAGUGUGGACGCCAGUCUGCAUGGAGCCGACCUUGAAAUACCACCCUUUAAUGUUUGAUGUUCUAACGUGGACCCGUUACCCGGGUUGCGGACAGUGUCUGGUGGGUAGUUUGACUGGGGCGGUCUCCUCCUAAAGAGUAACGGAGGAGCACGAAGGUUGGCUAAUCCUGGUCGGACAUCAGGAGGUUAGUGC